GUGCUCGCUUCAGCAGCACAUAUACUAAAAAUUAGAAUGAUACAGAGAUUAGCAUGGCCCCUGCACAAGGAUGACACGAAAAUUUGUGAAAAAAAAAGAUU
This 101-nucleotide small nuclear RNA is filed under the name Mus caroli (Ryukyu mouse). Lineage: Eukaryota; Metazoa; Chordata; Mammalia; Rodentia; Muridae. The record is from RNAcentral.